This 72-nucleotide transfer RNA is filed under the name Perlesta teaysia. RNAcentral describes it as "tRNA-Val". Lineage: Eukaryota; Metazoa; Arthropoda; Insecta; Plecoptera; Perlidae. The record is from RNAcentral.
CGAGAUAGAGCUUGAUCAGUUAAGCGUUCCAUUUACACUGGGGAUUAAUCUGUGCAAUUCAGUUUGUCUCGA